RNAcentral lists this ribosomal RNA (777 nucleotides) under Buellia schaereri. RNAcentral describes it as "SSU rRNA". It matches the Rfam family "Bacterial small subunit ribosomal RNA", at positions 388 to 1231 of the family's 1533-position model. The record is from RNAcentral. Lineage: Eukaryota; Fungi; Ascomycota; Lecanoromycetes; Caliciales; Caliciaceae.
AUAGCGAAAGCUAGUUGUGUUUAAUUUAGCUAAAGCUAAAUGGAUACAAUAUUGACCAUGUUAAAUAAAGUUCUAGGUAGAAUUAUGAUGAUGACAUUGUUUAUCUAUAUGUCUUGACCAAAUUACGUGCCAGCUAUCGCGGUAAUACGUAAAAGACUUGUGUUAUUCAUCUUGAAUAGGUUUAAAGGGUACCUAGACGGCCAAUCAAGCUCCCAAAAGAGUACUAAGGGGCUAGAGUUUAAUAUAAGGAAGCAUUAAAGUACUGAUGAUGUGGAGAGAUGAAAUUCUGUGAUACUAUAUAUGGCACUGGUAAAGGCGAAAGCAUCUUAUUAUGUAAAAACUGAAGUUGAGGGACGAAGGCUGUGUGUAGCCCAAAGGAUUAGAUACCCAAGUAGUCUCAGCAGAAAAUGAUGAAUGUCAUAGGAUAGAUAAAUUUUGUACUAUAAAUGAAAGUGUAAGCAUUCCACCUUAAGAGUAAUUUGGCAACAUUGGAACUGAAAUCAUUAGACCGUUUCUGAAACAAGUAGUGAAGUAUGUUGUUUAAUUUGAUGGUCCGCAAAAAACCUUACCACAGUUUAUUUGAAUAUAAAAUUAUUUAUACAAGCGCUGCACGGUUGUCUUCAGUUAAUGUCGUGAGAUUCUGGUUAGUUCCAUUAAAUUAACGUAAACCCUUACUUUAUUUUUUAUAGAGUAGUUCACCGCUAGAUUGGAUAUGAUAAAAGGGACUAAGACAAAUCAUCAUGGCCAAANUAAAGUGAGCUAUAGACGUGCCACAUA